AAAUUGAAGAGUUUGAUCAUGGCUCAGAUUGAACGCUGGCGGCAGGCCUAACACAUGCAAGUCGAACGGUAACAGGAAGCAGCUUGCUGCUUCGCUGACGAGUGGCGGACGGGUGAGUAAUGUCUGGGAAACUGCCUGAUGGAGGGGGAUAACUACUGGAAACGGUGGCUAAUACCGCAUAACGUCGCAAGACCAAAGAGGGGGACCUUCGGGCCUCUUGCCAUCAGAUGUGCCCAGAUGGGAUUA
Molecule: ribosomal RNA, 246 nt
Filed under: Salmonella enterica subsp. enterica serovar Muenchen
Lineage: Bacteria; Pseudomonadati; Pseudomonadota; Gammaproteobacteria; Enterobacterales; Enterobacteriaceae
Also listed under: 19 other names
Description: partial 16S ribosomal RNA
Rfam family: Bacterial small subunit ribosomal RNA
Source: RNAcentral